UACGUAGGGUGCGAGCGUUAUUCGGAAUUUAUCGGUGCGUAAAGAGCUCGUAGGCGGUGUGUCACGUCGUUCGUGAAAACCUGCAGCUUAACUGUGGGCGUGCGGUCGAUACGGGCAUCACUGGGAGUUCGGGAGAGGAGCGUGGAAUUCCCAGUGUAGAGGUGAAAUUCGUAGAUAUUGGGAAGAACACGGUGGCGAAGGCGGCGCUCUGGACCGAGACUGACGCUGAGGCGCGAAAGCGUGGGGGAGCAAACAGGA
Molecule: ribosomal RNA, 258 nt
Filed under: uncultured bacterium
Lineage: Bacteria
Description: partial 16S ribosomal RNA
Rfam family: Bacterial small subunit ribosomal RNA
Source: RNAcentral